This 71-nucleotide transfer RNA is filed under the name Paenibacillus larvae. RNAcentral's name for it is "tRNA-Ala". It matches the Rfam family "tRNA". From Rfam's summary of the family: Transfer RNA (tRNA) molecules are approximately 80 nucleotides in length. The record is from RNAcentral. Lineage: Bacteria; Bacillati; Bacillota; Bacilli; Caryophanales; Paenibacillaceae.
GGGGCCAUAGCUCACAAGAGCGCCUGCCUUGCAAGCGGAGGUCAGCGGUUCGAUCCCGCUGGGCUCCACCA